This is a non-coding RNA of Phrynosoma platyrhinos (Desert horned lizard), 64 nucleotides long. The record is from the annotation of a GenBank genome assembly. Lineage: Eukaryota; Metazoa; Chordata; Lepidosauria; Squamata; Phrynosomatidae.
GUCUCAGUGGCUUGAAUGUUGGACUAUGACUCUGAAGACUAGGGUUCGAAUCCCCACUGGGCCA